GAACGGGUGAGUAACACGUGGGCAACCUGCCCAAAAGAGGGGGAUAACACUUGGAAACAGGUGCUAAUACCGCAUAACCAUAGUUACCGCAUGGUAACUAUGUAAAAGGUGGCUAUGCUACCGCUUUUGGAUGGGCCCGCGGCGCAUUAGCUAGUUGGUGGGGUAAAGGCUUACCAAGGCAAUGAUGCGUAGCCGAACUGAGAGGUUGAUCGGCCACAUUGGGACUGAGACACGGCCCAAACUCCUACGGGAGGCAGCAGUAGGGAAUCUUCCACAAUGGGCGAAAGCCUGAUGGAGCAACGCCGCGUGGGUGAAGAAGGUCUUCGGAUCGUAAAACCCUGUUGUUAGAGAAGAAAGUGCGUGAGAGUAAUUGUUCACGUUUCGACGGUAUCUAACCAGAAAGCCACGGCUAACUACGUGCCAGCAGCCGCGGUAAUACGUAUGUGGCAAGCGUUAUCCGGAUUUAUUGGGCGUAAAGGGAACGCAGGCGGUCUUUUAAGUCUGAUGUGAAAGCCUUCGGCUUAACCGGAGUAGUGCAUUGGAAACUGGG
RNAcentral lists this ribosomal RNA (550 nucleotides) under uncultured bacterium. RNAcentral describes it as "bacterial SSU rRNA". It matches the Rfam family "Bacterial small subunit ribosomal RNA", at positions 100 to 637 of the family's 1533-position model. The record is from RNAcentral.